Cavia aperea (Brazilian guinea pig) is the source of this 77-nucleotide small nucleolar RNA. Its record names the gene SNORA63. It matches the Rfam family "Small nucleolar RNA SNORA63". Rfam says of the family: E3 belongs to the H/ACA class of snoRNAs and is involved in the processing of eukaryotic pre-rRNA and has regions of complementarity to 18S rRNA. The record is from Ensembl. NCBI's taxonomy places the organism in Eukaryota, Metazoa, Chordata, Mammalia, Rodentia, Caviidae.
AAUAAAUAAAUAAAGUUGUUUCUUAACUAUACCUGUCUCUACCUGUGUAGCAGUCAGGGAUGCUUGGCCUCAUACAU